Caretta caretta (loggerhead turtle) is the source of this 248-nucleotide long non-coding RNA. RefSeq lists it as uncharacterized. Lineage: Eukaryota; Metazoa; Chordata; Testudines; Cheloniidae. The record is from RefSeq and is a predicted model, not a curated record.
UCUUUUCUGCGUCCUCCUGCUCUUCCUGGUGAAGACUGAUUUAACAGAUGUACCUGAAGAAGACAAGAAGAAAGGCAGUAAAAUAACAAUGCAGGACAGCUUCUGAUAGGGGCUCCCAUGGGAAGAUCAACAAGUGACAUACAUUUCCAUCCUUCUGUUGUCAGACUUGUGGAUAGAAAUCUUCAUCUUGGAGGUCAGAUGCAAUAGUUUGGAUAUAGCCGAGGAAAAGAAACCUGAAGAAGAGAAGG